Long non-coding RNA from Erigeron canadensis, 648 nucleotides. RefSeq lists it as uncharacterized. The record is from RefSeq and is a predicted model, not a curated record. NCBI's taxonomy places the organism in Eukaryota, Viridiplantae, Streptophyta, Magnoliopsida, Asterales, Asteraceae. The transcript is spliced from 3 exons.
UCCAAACAUUUAAUUUUUGAUCCAUCCUUUUUAGGCCUUUUCUUGCCUACGUCAUCAAGUCGUCAAUUGCAUAGAUGAUAGAAGAAAGAAAAGAAACUUUACUUAUUUGUUUAUCACCAUGACACCAUCCCUCCACCAUUCUCCGGCCAGCCACCCUACGAUAGAGAAAUUGCUGAAAAAAUUGAUUCCAUAUCUAUAGUCGGCGAGCUCAAAGAGUUUAAAGGUCGUCGGCUGAGAUGUUAAAUUUACUAUCAGGUCUGACAGGAAUUUGUAGGAGGACACAAUGCAAAGGAUGUAGACAUGAUCAAAAUUAUCAUUGUAACGCACAACGUGCAGCAUCUGGAGUUUUGAUAUGGAGUUUAGAUGGAGGAUUUGAUGUUUCGUACGGAUGGUAUGAUAUUUAACAUAGAACACGUGCGCAACACACGUAGGUCAACACGUGGUGUUAUAACGAGAUAGUUGCAACUUACAUUAUGUAUUGGGAAAACAUGAACAUUUUGGUUAUUGAAUACACAUUGUGUACAUCGAGAUUUAGGGAAAAUCUGAUUUUGGUGGACAAUUAUAUGUAUACUAUAGUUAUAAGUCCCAUACCUCAUAAUCCGUGUAAUGGAUAUACCAACUUAUGUAGCAUCUAUGUUGUUUUGUUUA